GUUUAAUACAUUAAGUAUUCCAAAAAGCUAUUACAUCAAAUGAGUGGCUUUGUGGGCAUACUUCCAACAUACAAGUGGUUGGAGAUUUGAAUUUUUUUCUUCAACCACUUGUACGAUGACAUGGUGUACUAGACCGUAUUUUCAGCACAUUAAAAAAAUCUCUUUAACAUCUGUAUUUGAUAUUUUCUUCGUUUUUGAUGAUGGGAAUGUGGCGGGAAUCCCCCUAAAAAUACCCUUAGGGAUGCUAAAAAUAGUAGUGGAUAUUUUCUGGAUCUCUCUCUCUCUCUGUGCUCACUCUCACGCAUGCUUCUUGCUUCGUUAAUCGAUUGCGUUGAUGGAAGCCGAACGAGUCCCG
RNAcentral lists this long non-coding RNA (355 nucleotides) under Malus domestica (apple). Its description in RNAcentral is "long non-coding RNA (MDOM_LNC013477)". Lineage: Eukaryota; Viridiplantae; Streptophyta; Magnoliopsida; Rosales; Rosaceae. The record is from RNAcentral.